GCUCCGGUAGCACAAUUGGUUAGUGCGUUGGACUUUUAAGGAAGACACGAAAUAUGGUCAUCCAAGUCAUCCAAAGGUUGCGGGUUCGACCCCCGCCUGGAGCG
Cephalotrichum gorgonifer is the source of this 104-nucleotide non-coding RNA. The record is from the annotation of a GenBank genome assembly. Lineage: Eukaryota; Fungi; Ascomycota; Sordariomycetes; Microascales; Microascaceae.